GAUGAACGCUGGCGGCAUGCCUAACACAUGCAAGUCGAACGAACCUUCGGGUUAGUGGCGGACGGGUGAGUAACACGUUGGUACCUUCCCCAGAGUGGGGGAUAAUUCGCCGAAAGGCGGACUAAUACCCCAUAGUCUUACUCUUGUAGUAAGUAAAGAUUUAUCGCUCUGGGAUGGGCCUGCGGCUGAUUAGCUUGUUGGUGAGGUAACGGCUCACCAAGGCGACGAUCAGUAGCUGGAUCGAGAGGUUGACCAGCCACACUGGGACUG
RNAcentral lists this ribosomal RNA (270 nucleotides) under uncultured bacterium. RNAcentral describes it as "partial 16S ribosomal RNA". It matches the Rfam family "Bacterial small subunit ribosomal RNA", at positions 28 to 321 of the family's 1533-position model. The record is from RNAcentral.